This is a long non-coding RNA of Mirounga angustirostris (Northern elephant seal), 214 nucleotides long. RefSeq lists it as uncharacterized. The transcript has 2 exons. NCBI's taxonomy places the organism in Eukaryota, Metazoa, Chordata, Mammalia, Carnivora, Phocidae. The record is from RefSeq and is a predicted model, not a curated record.
UUGAAAAGCCAUUUGAAGACGAACUUACAGCAGCUUCUCUUAACAAGGAAUGUGGUCACAUGUCAAAGUUUCCAGGUUAUUGCAGAGACCAACAUUUCGUCCCAAAUCAAUUUGUGCAACAGAAAAGCCAUACAGGGCUGAUUCCUAAGGACUGCAGUAUCCAGGCUCCCUUGUCCUUAGCUUCUGGUUGGGUUUGGCCAAUGAGAGACAACAA